GAUGAACGCUAGCUACAGGCUUAACACAUGCAAGUCGAGGGGCAGCAUGAUUGAAGCUUGCUUCAAUCGAUGGCGACCGGCGCACGGGUGAGUAACACGUAUCCAACCUGCCGAUAACUCGGGGAUAGCCUUUCGAAAGAAAGAUUAAUACCCGAUAGUAUAGUAUUUCCGCAUGGUUUCACUAUUAAAGAACUUCGGUUAUCGAUGGGGAUGCGUUCCAUUAGAUAGUUGGCGGGGUAACGGCCCACCAAGUCAACGAUGGAUAGGGGUUCUGAGAGGAAGGUCCCCCACAUUGGAACUGAGACACGGUCCAAACUCCUACGGGAGGCAGCAGUGAGGAAUAUUGGUCAAUGGACGAGAGUCCGAACCAGCCAAGUAGCGUGAAGGAUGACUGCCCUAUGGGUUGUAAACUUCUUUUAUACGGGAAUAAAGUGGAGUAUGCAUACUCCUUUGUAUGUACCGUAUGAAUAAGGAUCGGCUAACUCCGUG
RNAcentral lists this ribosomal RNA (489 nucleotides) under uncultured bacterium. Its description in RNAcentral is "partial 16S ribosomal RNA". It matches the Rfam family "Bacterial small subunit ribosomal RNA", at positions 28 to 507 of the family's 1533-position model. The record is from RNAcentral.